Molecule: ribosomal RNA, 352 nt
Filed under: uncultured bacterium
Lineage: Bacteria
Description: bacterial SSU rRNA
Rfam family: Bacterial small subunit ribosomal RNA
Source: RNAcentral
GCUCAGGAUGAACGCUGGCGGCGUGCCUAAUACAUGCAAGUAGGACGCACAGUUUAUACCGUAACUUGCUACACCAUAGACUGUGAGUUGCGAACGGGUGAGUAACGCGUAGGUAACCUACCUAUUAGAGGGGGAUAACUAUUGGAAACGAUAGCUAAUACCGCAUAACAGUAUGUAACACAUGUUAGAUGCUUGAAAGAUGCAAUUGCAUCGCUAGUAGAUGGACCUGCGUUGUAUUAGCUAGUAGGUAGGGUAAAGGCCUACCUAGGCAACGAUACAUAGCCGACCUGAGAGGGUGAUCGGCCACACUGGGACUGAGACACGGCCCAGACUCCUACGGGAGGCAGCAGUA